GACGAACGCUGGCGGCGUGCUUAACACAUGCAAGUCGAGCGGUAAGGCCCUUUCGGGGGUACACGAGCGGCGAACGGGUGAGUAACACGUGGGUGACCUGCCCUCAGCUCUGGGAUAAGCCUGGGAGACUGGGUCUAAUACUGGAUAUGACUCCACGGUGCAUGUCGUGGGGUGGAAAGCCUUGUGCGGCUGAGGAUGGGCCCGCGGCCUAUCAGCUUGUUGGUGGGGUGAUGGCCUACCAAGGCGACGACGGGUAGCCGGCCUGAGAGGGCGACCGGCCACACUGGGACUGAGACACGGCCCAGACUCCUACGGGAGGCAGCAGUGGGGAAUCUUGCGCAAUGGGCGAAAGCCUGACGCAGCGACGCCGCGUGAGGGAUGACGGCCU
This 388-nucleotide ribosomal RNA is filed under the name uncultured bacterium. RNAcentral's name for it is "bacterial SSU rRNA". It matches the Rfam family "Bacterial small subunit ribosomal RNA", at positions 28 to 417 of the family's 1533-position model. The record is from RNAcentral.